Planococcus citri (citrus mealybug) is the source of this 742-nucleotide long non-coding RNA. RefSeq lists it as uncharacterized. Lineage: Eukaryota; Metazoa; Arthropoda; Insecta; Hemiptera; Pseudococcidae. The record is from RefSeq and is a predicted model, not a curated record. The transcript is spliced from 2 exons.
GGGACGAAGUCCCCCCCCCCCAACAAACAGAAAUAGUAAACAGUGAUAAGAAGUAUUCCUUUGUGAAUCUGGUGAAUCGUGAUUUCAGUUUAAUAAUCAUACUUAAAAGUAUUAAAAAUGGUUGCUGAUAAUUUGAAGGACAGACUGAAGAACAGAGAGCUCAACCUCAGUUCGUGCGGAUUGAAAGAAAUAGCUCUAAAAGAAACCAUACCUACGCCAAACAAGUUGGCUCAAAACAUCAUCACUCAUGUCAGCAAAAGUGAACUAUAGUAUAGAAGAAUUAUUCUUAUCUUAGAAGUUAGAAUUGACUCAGCUCAUGUUACAAAAAGCUGAAGAGCAAAGUAAACUGAAAGAAAAUGCCCUCAGUAGAGGCAGUAGCAUAAAACGUAACGUUCUAACGUAGUCGAUGACAAAGAAGAAAAUAAUUCAUCACUUGGUAUAUUCAACUGUGUUAAUCUAUUAAUCCUUUAUUACGAAUCAAAUUAGCAUCGUGUUAGAAUAGCUAGAUUUCUGAUGUGCUUAUUGAGUUGUCUCAUCGUUGAUCGAGUCAUAAUAUUAUGUAGAUACGAGUAAUCGUUGUACCCGCAUUGUUAUUUCCCAUUUUUAUGUUGUGCUUUUCCGCGAUUUUAAUUUUUUGUCAACUUUUUUUAAAAAUUACAAGUAAAAGUUGAGUUGUUCAUUUUCAGACUCAUUCCGUUAUUCUAUGUACAGUUACUGUAAUACAUGAUCUUGUGCGUUUCUA